Molecule: ribosomal RNA, 468 nt
Filed under: uncultured bacterium
Lineage: Bacteria
Description: partial 16S ribosomal RNA
Rfam family: Bacterial small subunit ribosomal RNA
Source: RNAcentral
GACGAACGCUGGCGGCGUGCUUAACACAUGCAAGUCGAACGGAAAGGCCCUGCUUUUGUGGGGUGCUCGAGUGGCGAACGGGUGAGUAACACGUGAGUAACCUGCCCUUGACUUUGGGAUAACUUCAGGAAACUGGGGCUAAUACCGGAUAGGAGCUCCUGCUGCAUGGUGGGGGUUGGAAAGUUUCGGCGGUUGGGGAUGGACUCGCGGCUUAUCAGCUUGUUGGUGGGGUAGUGGCUUACCAAGGCUUUGACGGGUAGCCGGCCUGAGAGGGUGACCGGCGACAUUGGGACUGAGAUACGGCCCAGACUACUACGGGAGGCAGCAGUGGGGAAUAUUGCACAAUGGGCGGAAGCCUGAUGCAGCAACGCCGCGUGCGGGAUGACGGCCUUCGGGUUGUAAACCGCUUUCGCCUGUGACGAAGCGUGAGUGACGGUAAUGGGUAAAGAAGCACCGGCUAACUACGUG